AUGGAAGGAGCAAAGGCGCCGGCGGGAGGCGCAUCUGGUAGUGGAGCUGGGGAGGGCGCCCGUGGCCCGGAUCCAAGCUUAGAGGAUAGAUUUCAGGGUCUGAAUCUUCACGGAGAGGAGGAGGACGAGUUGGAUUUGUCAGGUGAGAUCGAUGAAUUGAUUGAAGAGACGAGGUGGAUUGCUAUUUUUAGGGUUCAUACACAAUGACCCUUUAGCCAUGUUGCCCUGUACAAAGCGAUGAGGAAUGCUUGGACGCCAGCACAGGGAGUGAUCUUCAAGGCAAUGAAACCAAACUUGUUCCUGGGUCAGUUCAUGUGUCUUGGCGAUUGGAAUCGCGUGAUGAACGGAGGGCCUUGGUUAUUUCGGAACGCAACAGUUCCUAUGGAGGAGUACGAUGGUCUGACAAACGUUGAGGAGUACAAGCUGGAUCGCAUCCCAGCGUGGGCACGUACCAUAGGCAUCCCUGAGGGGCUUAUGAAGAAGAAGGAGAUUGCUGAGAAGAUAGCAAGAAAAGUUGGAAUACCUCAUGUUAAGGUCAUUGUCAAUGAAGGUCGAAUCAAUCCUACAAAGUAA
RNAcentral lists this ribosomal RNA (573 nucleotides) under Triticum aestivum (bread wheat). RNAcentral's name for it is "partial small subunit ribosomal RNA". The record is from RNAcentral. Lineage: Eukaryota; Viridiplantae; Streptophyta; Magnoliopsida; Poales; Poaceae.